ACNUGCAGUCGAGCGGACAGAUGGGAGCUUGCUCCCUGAUGUUAGCGGCGGACGGGUGAGUAACACGUGGGUAACCUGCCUGUAAGACUGGGAUAACUCCGGGAAACCGGGGCUAAUACCGGAUGGUUGUUUGAACCGCAUGGUUCAAACAUAAAAGGUGGCUUCGGCUACCACUUACAGAUGGACCCGCGGCGCAUUAGCUAGUUGGUGAGGUAANGGCUCACCAAGGCAACGAUGCGUAGCCGACCUGAGAGGGUGAUCGGCCACACUGGGACUGAGACACGGCCCAGACUCCUACGGGAGGCAGCAGUAGGGAAUCUUCCGCAAUGGACGAAAGUCUGACGGAGCAACGCCGCGUGAGUGAUGAAGGUUUUCGGAUCGUAAAGCUCUGUUGUUAGGGAAGAACAAGUACCGUUCGAAUAGGGCGGUACCUUGACGGUACCUAACCAGAAAGCCACGGCUAACUACGUGCCAGCAGCCGCGGUAAUACGUAGGUGGCAAGCGUUGUCCGGAAUUAUUGGGCGUAAAGGGCUCGCAGGCGGUUUCUUAAGUCUGAUGUGAAAGCCCCCGGCUCAACCGGGGAGGGUCAUUGGAAACUGGGGAACUUGAGUGCANAAGAGGANAGUGGAAUUCCACGUGUANCGGUGAAAUGCGUAGAGAUGUGGANGNAACACCAGUGGCNAAGGCGACUCUCUGGUCUNGUAACUGACNCUGAGGNANCGAAAGCGUGG
Molecule: ribosomal RNA, 731 nt
Filed under: Bacillus sp. (in: firmicutes)
Lineage: Bacteria; Bacillati; Bacillota; Bacilli; Caryophanales; Bacillaceae
Description: bacterial SSU rRNA
Rfam family: Bacterial small subunit ribosomal RNA
Source: RNAcentral